GGCUGCUGCUGCUGCUGCUGCUGCAGUUGUUGUUGCUGCUGCAGCUGUGCCUGAUGCUGCUGCAGUUGUACCUGCUGCUGCU
RNAcentral lists this small RNA (82 nucleotides) under Drosophila guanche. Lineage: Eukaryota; Metazoa; Arthropoda; Insecta; Diptera; Drosophilidae. The record is from RNAcentral.